This 515-nucleotide ribosomal RNA is filed under the name bacterium enrichment culture clone ALO1_GLFRUDD03F43EF. Its description in RNAcentral is "bacterial SSU rRNA". It matches the Rfam family "Bacterial small subunit ribosomal RNA", at positions 9 to 517 of the family's 1533-position model. The record is from RNAcentral.
GAGUUUGAUCUUGGCUCAGAUUGAACGCUGGCGGCAGGCCUAACACAUGCAAGUCGAGCGGAUGACGGGAGCUUGCUCCUUGAUUCAGCGGCGGACGGGUGAGUAAUGCCUAGGGAAUCUGCCUGGUAGUGGGGGACAACGUUUCGAAAGGAACGCUAAUACCGCAUACGUCCUACGGGAGAAAGCAGGGGACCUUCGGGCCUUGCGCUAUCAGAUGAGCCUAGGUCGGAUUAGCUAGUUGGUGGGGUAAAUGGCUCACCAAGGCGACGAUCCGUAACUGGUCUGAGAGGAUGAUCAGUCACACUGGAACUGAGACACGGUCCAGACUCCUACGGGAGGCAGCAGUGGGGGAAUAUUGGACAAUGGGCGAAAGCCUGAUCCAGCCAUGCCGCGUGUGUGAAGAAGGUCUUCGGAUUGUAAAGCACUUUAAGUUGGGAGAAGGGCAGUAAGUUAAUACCUUGCUGUUUUGACGUUACCGACAGAAUAAGCACCGGCUAACUCUGUGCCAGCAGCCG